Molecule: transfer RNA, 361 nt
Filed under: uncultured Microcystis sp.
Lineage: Bacteria; Bacillati; Cyanobacteriota; Cyanophyceae; Chroococcales; Microcystaceae
Description: partial 16S-23S ribosomal RNA intergenic spacer
Rfam family: tRNA (bases 136-209)
Source: RNAcentral
AAAGGGAGACCUAAUUCGGGUAUAAGACGAAAAAAAAGUAGUCCCAACCAAGAAUCAAUCCCAAAAGGUCGGAGCGAGGCGAAAUUGGCUUUCAAACUAGGUUCUGGGUUCACAGAAGACCUGAAUCAGGAACAAGGGCUAUUAGCUCAGGUGGUUAGAGCGCACCCCUGAUAAGGGUGAGGUCCCUGGUUCGAGUCCAGGAUGGCCCACCUGCACAGGUGGUAAAAACAAGAGAAGCGAGGAAUCAGCACCUUAUCUUACUUACAUAGUAAGAGAGAAUGCUGGCUCUGAGUAAAGAGUCCAGAGGAACCUUGAAAACUGCAUAGAGCUAGGUGAAAAAGCCAAAAAAGAAGACCGCAAG